GACGAACGCUGGCGGCGUGCUUAACACAUGCAAGUCGAACGCUGAAGCUCAGCUUUUGUUGGGUGGAUGAGUGGCGAACGGGCGAGUAACACGUGAGUAACCUGCCCCCUUCUUUGGGAUAACGCCCGGAAACGGGUGCUAAUACUGGAUAUUCACUGGUCUUCGCAUGGGGGUUGGUGGAAAGGGUUUUUCUGGUGGGGGAUGGGCUCGCGGCCUAUCAGCUUGUUGGUGGGGUGAUGGCCUACCAAGGCUUUGACGGGUAGCCGGCCUGAGAGGGUGACCGGUCACAUUGGGACUGAGAUACGGCCCAGACUCCUACGGGAGGCAGCAGUGGGGAAUAUUGCACAAUGGGCGCAAGCCUGAUGCAGCGACGCCGCGUGAGGGAUGGAGGCCUUCGGGUUGUGAACCUCUUUCGCUCAUGGUCAAGCCGCAACAAUGGUUGUGGUGAGGGUAGUGGGUAAAGAAGCGCCGGCUAACUACGUG
Molecule: ribosomal RNA, 483 nt
Filed under: uncultured bacterium
Lineage: Bacteria
Description: partial 16S ribosomal RNA
Rfam family: Bacterial small subunit ribosomal RNA
Source: RNAcentral